This 379-nucleotide ribosomal RNA is filed under the name uncultured bacterium. RNAcentral describes it as "partial 16S ribosomal RNA". It matches the Rfam family "Bacterial small subunit ribosomal RNA", at positions 338 to 733 of the family's 1533-position model. The record is from RNAcentral.
CCUACGGGGGGCAGCAGUGGGGAAUAUUGCACAAUGGGGGAAACCCUGAUGCAGCGACGCCGCGUGAGUGAAGAAGUAUUUCGGUAUGUAAAGCUCUAUCAGCAGGGAAGAAAAAAGACGGUACCUGACUAAGAAGCCCCGGCUAACUACGUGCCAGCAGCCGCGGUACUACGUAGGGGGCAAGCGUUCUCCGGAUUUACUGGGUGUAAAGGGAGCGUAGACGGCGCGGCAAGUCUGAAGUGAAAGGCAGGGGCUUAACCCACGAACUGCUUUUGAAACUGGCAUGCUCGAGUGCUGGAGAGGUAAGUGGAAUGACUGGUGUAGCGGUGAAAUGCGUAGAUAUUAGGAGGAACACCAGUGGCGAAGGCGGGUUACUGGA